AUUGUAAUCAGCGUCAGUAAACAGUAAUUUAUUACAACUUUCAACAACGGAUCUCUUGGUUCUGGCAUCGAUGAAGAACGCAGCGAAAUGCGAUACGUAGUGUGAAUUGCAGAAUUCAGUGAAUCAUCGAAUCUUUGAACGCACAUUGCGCCCUUUGG
Molecule: ribosomal RNA, 158 nt
Filed under: Gibbago trianthemae
Lineage: Eukaryota; Fungi; Ascomycota
Description: 5.8S ribosomal RNA
Rfam family: 5.8S ribosomal RNA (bases 36-158)
About the family: 5.8S ribosomal RNA (5.8S rRNA) is a component of the large subunit of the eukaryotic ribosome. It is transcribed by RNA polymerase I as part of the 45S precursor that also contains 18S and 28S rRNA. Functionally, it is thought that 5.8S rRNA may be involved in ribosome translocation.
Source: RNAcentral